This 493-nucleotide ribosomal RNA is filed under the name uncultured bacterium. RNAcentral describes it as "bacterial SSU rRNA". It matches the Rfam family "Bacterial small subunit ribosomal RNA", at positions 36 to 518 of the family's 1533-position model. The record is from RNAcentral.
CUAGCUACAGGCUAACACAUGCAAGUCGAGGGGCAGCAUUAUCGAAGCUUGCUUGAUAGAUGGCGACCGGCGCACGGGUGAGUAACGCGUAUCCAACCUUCCCCUUAGUAGGGCAUAGCCCGUAGAAAUGCGGAUUAAUACCCUAUGUUGUAUUAUGAGGACAUCUGAAUAAUACCAAAGGUUCACCGCUAAGGGAUGGGGAUGCGUCUGAUUAGGUUGUUGGCGGGGUAACGGCCCACCAAGCCAUCGAUCAGUAGGGGUUCUGAGAGGAAGGUCCCCCACAUUGGAACUGAGACACGGUCCAAACUCCUACGGGGAGGCAGCAGUGAGGAAUAUUGGUCAAUGGGCGAGAGCCUGAACCAGCCAAGUAAGCGUGCAGGAUGACGGCCCUAUGGGUUGUAAACUGCUUUUAUACAGGGAUAAAGUCGGGGACGUGUCCCCGUUUGUAGGUACUGUAUGAAUAAGGACCGGCUAAUUCCGUGCCAGCCGCCGC